AACGAACGCUGGCGGCGUGCUUAACACAUGCAAGUCGAACGCGAAAAUUCUCCUCGGAAAGUGAGUAGAGUGGCGCACGGGUGAGUAACGCGUAAGUUAUCUACCUCGGCAUCUGGAAUAACUCACCGAAAGGUGUGCUAAUACCGGAUACGUUGAGUAAUCAAGAAAGGUGGCCUCUGAAUAUGCUACUGUGCUGAGAUGAGCUUGCGUACCAUUAGCUAGUUGGUAGGGUAAUGGCCUACCAAGGCAACGAUGGUUAGCGGGUCUGAGAGGAUGAUCCGCCACACUGGAACUGAAACACGGACCAGACUCCUACGGGAGCAGCAGU
RNAcentral lists this ribosomal RNA (328 nucleotides) under uncultured bacterium. RNAcentral's name for it is "bacterial SSU rRNA". It matches the Rfam family "Bacterial small subunit ribosomal RNA", at positions 29 to 355 of the family's 1533-position model. The record is from RNAcentral.